UACAGAGGGGGCAAGCGUUGUUCGGAAUUACUGGGCGUAAAGGGCGCGUAGGCGGCCCGCUAAGUCGAACGUGAAAUCCCCGAGCUCAACUCGGGAACUGCGUCCGAUACUGGCGGGCUUGAAUCCGGGAGAGGGAUGCGGAAUUCCAGGUGUAGCGGUGAAAUGCGUAGAUAUCUGGAGGAACACCGAUGGCGAAGGCAGCCUUCUGGGCCAACACUGACGCUCAUGCACGAAAGCGUGGGGAGCAAACAGG
This 253-nucleotide ribosomal RNA is filed under the name uncultured bacterium. Its description in RNAcentral is "partial 16S ribosomal RNA". It matches the Rfam family "Bacterial small subunit ribosomal RNA", at positions 524 to 776 of the family's 1533-position model. The record is from RNAcentral.